UUUCCAUCUACUUUCUUGCAAUUAAAAAAUAAGUUGGUGAAACCUAUUUUUAUAAUUUUGAAUCGUAUAUGAUAUAUCGUAUCACCAUAUAAUGCAUAUGGUUUGAGCAGAGAGCUAAAGAGAGAGAGAGAUGAUCCCCAUGCCUUCUCCAGAGACUCAUGAUCAUUUCAUUCUCGAUCGAUCAAAGGUUGAAGAAGAAGUGAAGGAUAGAUCAACAGCAUAUACAUGAUGGCAAAUGAUAUGGUGAAAAUCAGAGAAAAUUUUCAAUCUGGAUUUACUAGUUGAUGGUAUUGGGUUUGAGUUUGAUCGAAUAUAGAUGGACAUCUCUUUUCUUAAGGUUGCUUUGAAGAAAAGGAUGGGAGAUGCCCAUGCCUUGAGUCUCGAGGCAAGUAAACGAUCACCAGUUCCCCCUUUCAAAACUUCAAUCUCUUUGUUAAACACGAGUACUAUUGCAUAACCCAUCUUUUGAUUUUUAUACAAAAGCUCACGCUUUUCUUUCAUCGUUUACGUAUGAAUUGAAGUGAUGCAGUUCAAUUCGAUUGUUUUAUGAAAUGUAACUUCUCAUUCAAUAUUUGAUGUAGUGAAUAGGGAAUCCCAAAAAGAUAAAAAGAAAACCAUAUAUGAAAAGAAAAAAUA
This is a long non-coding RNA of Brassica oleracea var. oleracea, 636 nucleotides long. RefSeq lists it as uncharacterized. NCBI's taxonomy places the organism in Eukaryota, Viridiplantae, Streptophyta, Magnoliopsida, Brassicales, Brassicaceae. The transcript has 2 exons. The record is from RefSeq and is a predicted model, not a curated record.